UCCGCAGGCGGCCAUGCGCGUCGUGAGUUAAAUGUUGGGGCUCAACUCCAACGCUGCUUACGAUACGGCAUGGCUAGAGGCCGGGAGAGGCACACGGAAUUGCCGGUGUAGUAGUAAUAUGCGUUAAUAUCGGCAGGAACACCAAAUGCGAAGGCAGUGUGCUGGAACGGUUCUGACGCUCAGGGACGAAAGCGUGGGGAGCGAAAG
This 207-nucleotide ribosomal RNA is filed under the name uncultured bacterium. Its description in RNAcentral is "partial 16S ribosomal RNA". It matches the Rfam family "Bacterial small subunit ribosomal RNA", at positions 568 to 774 of the family's 1533-position model. The record is from RNAcentral.